UCAUAAGGGAGCUACCAUUUAAUUUUUAUGGGGGGGCUAGGAUGAAAUUUGAAAAAAAUAGGCAGGACAGGAGUUUUGAGUAAAAAAAAGGCAGGAUGAGACACUUGCCAAAAAAAAAAAGUCAGGACGACAAUUAAGGUAAACAAAAGUCAGGAUAAACUAAAAAAAAAAAGGCAGGACCGAACAGAGUGAAAAAUAAAAAGGUACGACAGAGAUUACAGCUAAAAAAAAAUGCAGGACAAAAUUUUUCCUCCUAGCCCCCCCAUAAAAAUCAAAUGGUAGCUCCCUAAGUGUCAGCUUGGGAUAUUCGCAUCCAAACAGUUAUCACCCUGAAGGCAAUUAAUACUAGCUAUUUAAUCUCUUAAUUGCCUGUAGUGUCCGACUUAAAGGGAUUACAAUUAAAGGUGAUAUAAUGUUUAUGAUCAUAAUCGAUAAUAGAUGAAAUUUCAAAAUUGAGGACAAGUAAAAAAGCAUCUUCAAAAUAAUUAUAGCGUCGCGGGAAUAAUUAUAGCGUCGCGGUAAUUAUUAUAGCAUCACGG
This 539-nucleotide long non-coding RNA is filed under the name Mytilus galloprovincialis (Mediterranean mussel). Lineage: Eukaryota; Metazoa; Mollusca; Bivalvia; Mytilida; Mytilidae. The record is from RNAcentral.